This 963-nucleotide long non-coding RNA is filed under the name Actinidia chinensis (golden kiwifruit). Its description in RNAcentral is "long non-coding RNA (ACHI_LNC006866)". Lineage: Eukaryota; Viridiplantae; Streptophyta; Magnoliopsida; Ericales; Actinidiaceae. The record is from RNAcentral.
UGCUUUAUACUACUUAGUGGAAUUUGACAUCAUCUAAUUCAAUUGGACAAGGACACCUUUAACACUGCCAAUGAAUUACUUUAUUAACACAAAUGGACAAGAUCACCUUGGUUCUCACUUUUUGGAAAAUCCUUUUUAUUUAUCUCCAUUCAUGAAGGAUUUUGGAAUAACCAAGACCCAUUUGUUGUGGUGUCUUGUGAAAUCGGCAUCUUUGAGUACAACUAACUCAAACGAGCUGACUGUAUCCUGUCAUUUAGCUAACCGAGCGUGGUAAAUGACUACUUGUAUUUAUAUGAGCACAGACUUCUAAUUCCAGGCAUGGAUGUAAUUCUAUUUAGUUCCGAUCAUCAACAUUUUAUUGGCUUGGUUGGAUGGGCCUCUUGAGUUGCAUAUAUUGACCAACAAAAUCUAUUGGAGUGAUCACGCCGUAUGAGAAUAUUCCAAAAGCAUAUUCUGGAAGACCUGGCCACUGAGGUACGAUGAUACAAGAUUUAUAUUCACCUUCUUGAUGGCCAUGACUGAUUUGUUUUUUUUAUUUUUUAUUUUCAGGAAAUGUUGAAUGAUGGAGGGUAGAAACCAUGUACAAGGAUUGAUUAUGAAGCUGAAAGCCUAAAAUAGUUUAUGUUGUGUUUCACAGUUAUUUGAGUUUUGUACCUUUUCUUAUUCAAUUAAGUUAUCCUUUGGAGCUUUCUGACGCAAAUGUCAUUUUAAUUUGCUUUUCCACGUUAUAGAUUGGCAGUUUGUAAUUUUUUGAGGGAGGGUAAUCCUGAAUAUCUAUCACUUAUCGGAAGGCUCAAACUCUUUCUUAUGAGAUGACCUCAUCUGCCGCAACCUCCUCCGCCUAGAGACAGCAGCGCUUCUUUGGGUGGGAGAGGGAGAGCAUAGCGGCGAAAAUAGCAAAUGAACUGCCACAGAUAGCCGUGACAGUUGGCUCCAUCCAAUGACUCCAAUACAGCACGUGGG